UAAUAAGUGUUUUAUGGCACUUUUAAAAUCCAUAUCCACCUUGUGUGCAAUGUCAUCUCUGGGGCUGUCGGCUGUCAAAGGUGUGAGGAUCGACCUGGAUAUAUCUACUCAGAACUUUAGUUUGACUCUUUGUCUGAAAAAUAUUAUGAAUACUAAUUCAAAAUA
RNAcentral lists this unclassified non-coding RNA (165 nucleotides) under soil metagenome. RNAcentral's name for it is "partial internal transcribed spacer 1". The record is from RNAcentral.